Molecule: transfer RNA, 76 nt
Filed under: Pontibacillus litoralis JSM 072002
Lineage: Bacteria; Bacillati; Bacillota; Bacilli; Caryophanales; Bacillaceae
Description: tRNA-Val
Rfam family: tRNA
About the family: Transfer RNA (tRNA) molecules are approximately 80 nucleotides in length.
Source: RNAcentral
GGAGGAUUAGCUCAGUUGGGAGAGCACUUGCCUUACAAGCAAGGGGUCACUGGUUCGAGCCCGGUAUCCUCCACCA